GAUGAACGCUGGCGGCGUGCCUAAUACAUGCAAGUCGAGCGAACGGACGAGAAGCUUGCUUCUCUGAUGUUAGCGGCGGACGGGUGAGUAACACGUGGAUAACCUACCUAUAAGACUGGGAUAACUUCGGGAAACCGGAGCUAAUACCGGAUAAUAUUUUGAACCGCAUGGUUCAAAAGUGAAAGACGGUCUUGCUGUCACUUAUAGAUGGAUCCGCGCUGCAUUAGCUAGUUGGUAAGGUAACGGCUUACCAAGGCAACGAUGCGUAGCCGACCUGAGAGGGUGAUCGGCCACACUGGAACUGAGACACGGUCCAGACUCCUACGGGAGGCAGCAGUAGGGAAUCUUCCGCAAAGGGCGAAAGCCUGACGGAGCAACGCCGCGUGAGUGAUGAAGGUCUUCGGAUCGUAAAACUCUGUUAUUAGGGAAGAACAAAUGUGUAAGUAACUGUGCACAUCUUGACGGUACCUAAUCAGAAAGCCACGGCUAACUACGUG
RNAcentral lists this ribosomal RNA (497 nucleotides) under uncultured bacterium. Its description in RNAcentral is "partial 16S ribosomal RNA". It matches the Rfam family "Bacterial small subunit ribosomal RNA", at positions 28 to 507 of the family's 1533-position model. The record is from RNAcentral.